CAUUUGAUAGGUUUGAAAGGCUUGACGGAUCUGGCAAAAAUUAGACGUCCUGUGGUGGUGUGAAGUUUUGCAUCGGCGAAAAAAGGUCAUUAUGGGGCGUGAGUUUCUCUUAGUCAGUCGUCACCGUCUUUGGGAUUCGGAUAAGAGGUUUCCGAUUUUUUCAUACGCCCAACCUCUCAGCUGUGGAAGUUAAAGUUCAAGAGCCAUGUUUGACGGAUUUUGCCUUGGGACCUCGGAAUCUGCGGGAUAAGAGGAUUGUGGCUUUUUGGCGAUACCGGUUGGUGGACUGUGAUAAUGCUUUGUGAGGCCCUCUAGAAGCAGGCGAAGGUCGACAGUGUUGAAGGUAGUAUUGGUUGCGAUAAGGCAUUCCCACAUCCCAUUAGGAGUAAGUGGAAAC
This is a long non-coding RNA of Rhododendron vialii, 397 nucleotides long. RefSeq lists it as uncharacterized. NCBI's taxonomy places the organism in Eukaryota, Viridiplantae, Streptophyta, Magnoliopsida, Ericales, Ericaceae. The record is from RefSeq and is a predicted model, not a curated record. The transcript has 2 exons.